This 389-nucleotide long non-coding RNA is filed under the name Mytilus galloprovincialis (Mediterranean mussel). Lineage: Eukaryota; Metazoa; Mollusca; Bivalvia; Mytilida; Mytilidae. The record is from RNAcentral.
GUCCGCCAUAUUGGAUAUCACCGGAAGUAAGGGUUUUAAAGACAUAUGUCUUAUACAUUGUAUCCAUGAGAAGCACCAAAGAAAGGUUCCUGCACAAUAUAAUGAUAGUAGCAAUACUUUAAAACACAUUUCAAUUACCCUCCCUAAAAAUAAGCUUAUUCUAGUACUAUAUCCGCCAUGUUGGAUUUUACCGGAAGUAGGGUUUUUGAAGACAUCUUAUCUAUAUCAUAUAUCCAAAAGUAGUACAAAACAAAGGUUUGUACUAAAUAUUAUGAUAGUAGCAUGUUAAUAACACCUUUUCACAUACUAGCCUUCGAUAUUGGGCUAAUUUAAGUAUGAUGUCCGCCAUUUUGGAUUUUACCGGAAGUGAGACAUUUUUUUCAAAUGCC